CGGAUGGGCAUAAAAACUAGCCCACAGCCUUUUCCUUUUACACUCCUUUAUUUCUGCCAAAGAGCCAGCGCCUCCAUGUAAGAAGGAAAAUUAGUGCACCAGAACACUAAGAGGAGGGCAAGUGGACCUUAAGUGUCCUCUGGCAAGAGGAUCCAAGAGGCUUAGCAUUCUCUAUUUGUAGUAAGUUUAAAGAGGGGUGCACUCAGCUUGAGAAUAGAAUUUCUUGUAAAGCAUUCUAUAGCAAUGGAUAAGAGCUGGAUGAUGAUUAACAAUAGGAUAUCCAAGGAAUAUUUAAACGGAGUUGAACAAUUUCUGAAUUUUGCGUCUCAAAAGGCACAGCAGGAUGGAAGGAUCAUAUGUCCCUGUAGAAAAUGUGCGCAUUCAAAUUUUUUUGCUAUAGAUGUUGUACGAGUUCACCUAGUAUCACAUGGGAUUUGUAGGGGUUAUCAACCUUGGAUUUUUCACGGGGAAUCAUUUCGCAAAAGAUCAUCAACUGCAUCUCAUCAAGAAACAAACCACUCAUCUCAUCGAAAAACAAACCACCCAGGGUAAUUUUGGUAUUUUGAAGACUAACUUGAGUACUAAAUAGAUGUUAUUAAACUGCCGCAUUUAUUGUCAAGUGUUUUACUGUAUUUAUUAAACAAAUUGGAACUUUGAUUAUGAUAUUGACUUAGUUCGGGUGGUAGUUUUUAUUAUUUGG
Quercus lobata is the source of this 700-nucleotide long non-coding RNA. RefSeq lists it as uncharacterized. Lineage: Eukaryota; Viridiplantae; Streptophyta; Magnoliopsida; Fagales; Fagaceae. The record is from RefSeq and is a predicted model, not a curated record. The transcript has 4 exons.